RNAcentral lists this ribosomal RNA (766 nucleotides) under Alteromonas macleodii. RNAcentral's name for it is "bacterial SSU rRNA". It matches the Rfam family "Bacterial small subunit ribosomal RNA", at positions 69 to 832 of the family's 1533-position model. The record is from RNAcentral. Lineage: Bacteria; Pseudomonadati; Pseudomonadota; Gammaproteobacteria; Alteromonadales; Alteromonadaceae.
GUAACAUUUCUAGCUUGCUAAAAGAUGACGAGUGGCGGACGGGUGAGUAAUGCUUGGGAACUUGCCUUUGCGAGGGGGAUAACAGUUGGAAACGACUGCUAAUACCGCAUAAUGUCUUCGGACCAAACGGGGCUUCGGCUCCGGCGCAAAGAGAGGCCCAAGUGAGAUUAGCUAGUUGGUAAGGUAACGGCUUACCAAGGCGACGAUCUCUAGCUGUUCUGAGAGGAAGAUCAGCCACACUGGGACUGAGACACGGCCCAGACUCCUACGGGAGGCAGCAGUGGGGAAUAUUGCACAAUGGGGGAAACCCUGAUGCAGCCAUGCCGCGUGUGUGAAGAAGGCCUUCGGGUUGUAAAGCACUUUCAGUUGUGAGGAAAAGUUAGUAGUUAAUACCUGCUAGCCGUGACGUUAACAACAGAAGAAGCACCGGCUAACUCCGUGCCAGCAGCCGCGGUAAUACGGAGGGUGCGAGCGUUAAUCGGAAUUACUGGGCGUAAAGCGCACGCAGGCGGUUUGAUAAGCUAGAUGUGAAAGCCCCGGGCUCAACCUGGGAUGGUCAUUUAGAACUGGCAGACUAGAGUCUUGGAGAGGGGAGUGGAAUUCCAGGUGUAGCGGUGAAAUGCGUAGAUAUCUGGAGGAACAUCAGUGGCGAAGGCGACUCCCUGGCCAAAGACUGACGCUCAUGUGCGAAAGUGUGGGUAGCGAACAGGAUUAGAUACCCUGGUAGUCCACACCGUAAACGCUGUCUACUAGCUGUGUGUGUCUU